UUCCGGUUGAUCCUGCCGGACCUGACUGCUAUCGGAUUGAUACUAAGCCAUGCGAGUCAUUGUAGCAAUACAAGGCAGACGGCUCAGUAACGCGUAGUCAACCUACCCUAUGGACGGGAAUAACCUCGGGAAACUGAGUAUAAUGCCCGAUAGAACACUAUACCUGGAAUGGUUUGUGUUCCAAAUGAUUUAUUGCCGUAGGAUGGGACUGCGGCCUAUCAGUUUGUUGGUGAGGUAAUGGCCCACCAAGACUAUUACAGGUACGGGCUCUGAGAGGAGUGGCCCGGAGAUGGGUACUGAGACACGGACCCAGGCCCUAUGGGGCGCAGCAGGCGAGAAAACUUUGCAAUGUGCGAAAGCACGACAAGGUUAAUCCGAGUGGUUUCUGCUAAAGGAACCUUUUGACAGUCCUAGAAACACUGUUGAAUAAGGGGUGGGCAAGUUCUGGUGUCAGCCGCCGCGGUAAAACCAGCACCUCAAGUGGUCAGGAUGAUUAUUGGGCCUAAAGCAUCCGUAGCCGGCUCUGUAAGUUUUCGGUUAAAUCUGUACGCUCAACGUACAGGCUGCUGGGAAUACUGCAGGGCUAGGGAGUGGGAGAGGUAGACGGUACUCG
Molecule: ribosomal RNA, 613 nt
Filed under: uncultured archaeon
Lineage: Archaea
Description: bacterial SSU rRNA
Rfam family: Archaeal small subunit ribosomal RNA
Source: RNAcentral